GACGAACGCUGGCGGCGUGCUUAACACAUGCAAGUCGAACGGAAAGGCCCUGCUUUUGUGGGGUGCUCGAGUGGCGAACGGGUGAGUAACACGUGAGUAACCUGCCCUUGACUUUGGGAUAACUUCAGGAAACUGGGGCUAAUACUGGAUAGGAGCUCCUGCUGCAUGGUGGGGGUUGGAAAGUUUCGGCGGUUGGGGAUGGACUCGCGGCUUAUCAGCUUGUUGGUGGGGUAGUGGCUUACCAAGGCUUUGACGGGUAGCCGGCCUGAGAGGGUGACCGGCCACAUUGGGACUGAGAUACGGCCCAGACUCCUACGGGAGGCAGCAGUGGGGAAUAUUGCACAAUGGGCGGAAGCCUGAUGCAGCAACGCCGCGUGCGGGAUGACGGCCUUCGGGUUGUGAACCGCUUUCGCCUGUGACGAAGCGUGAGUGACGGUAAUGGGUAAAGAAGCACCGGCUAACUACGUG
Molecule: ribosomal RNA, 468 nt
Filed under: uncultured bacterium
Lineage: Bacteria
Description: partial 16S ribosomal RNA
Rfam family: Bacterial small subunit ribosomal RNA
Source: RNAcentral